GACGAACGCUGGCGGCGUGCUUAACACAUGCAAGUCGAACGGAAAGGCCCUGCUUUUGUGGGGUGCUCGAGUGGCGAACGGGUGAGUAACACGUGAGUAACCUGCCCUUGAUUUUGGGAUAAUUUCAGGAAACUGGGGCCAAUACCGGAUGGGAGCUCUUGCUGCAUGGUGGGGGUUAGAAAUCUUCGGCGGUUGGGGAUGGACUCGCGGCUUAUCAGCUUGUUGGUCGGGUACUGGCUUACCAAGGCAUUGACCGGUAGCCGGCCUGAGAGGGUGACCGGCCACAGUGGGACUGGGAUGCGGCCCAGCCUCCUACGGGAGGCAGCGGUGGGGAAGAUUGCACUAUAGGCGGGAGCCUGAUGCAGCCACGCCGCGUGCGGGAUGACGGCCUUCGGGUUGUAUACCACUUUCGCCUGUGACGAGGCGUGAGUGACGGUAAUGGGUAAAGAAGCACCGGCUAACUACGUG
This 468-nucleotide ribosomal RNA is filed under the name uncultured bacterium. RNAcentral describes it as "partial 16S ribosomal RNA". It matches the Rfam family "Bacterial small subunit ribosomal RNA", at positions 28 to 507 of the family's 1533-position model. The record is from RNAcentral.